GGGUUGUGAGGUUAAGCGACUAAGCGUACACGGUGGAUGCCCUGGCAGUCAGAGGCGAUGAAGGACGUGCUAAUCUGCGAUAAGCGUCGGUAAGGUGAUAUGAACCGUUAUAACCGGCGAUUUCCGAAUGGGGAAACCCAGUGUGWUUCGUCACACUAUCAUUAACUGAAUCCAUAGGUUAAUGAGGCGAACCGGGGGAACUGAAACAUCUAAGUACCCCGAGGAAAAGAAAUCAACCGAGAUUCCCCCAGUAGCGGCGAGCGAACGGGGAGGAGCCCAGAGCCUGAAUCAGUGUGUGUGUUAGUGGAAGCGUCUGGAAAGGCGCGCGAUACAGGGUGACAGCCCCGUACACAAAAAUGCACAUACUGUGAGCUCGAUGAGUAGGGCGGGACACGUGGUAUCCUGUCUGAAUAUGGGGGGACCAUCCUCCAAGGCUAAAUACUCCUGACUGACCGAUAGUGAACCAGUACCGUGAGGGAAAGGCGAAAAGAACCCCGGCGAGGGGAGUGAAAAAGAACCUGAAACCGUGUACGUACAAGCAGUGGGAGCCUCUUUAUGGGGUGACUGCGUACCUUUUGUAUAAUGGGUCAGCGACUUAUAUUCUGUAGCAAGGUUAACCGAAUAGGGGAGCCGAAGGGAAACCGAGUCUUAACUGGGCGUUAAGUUGCAGGGUAUAGACCCGAAACCCGGUGAUCUAGCCAUGGGCAGGUUGAAGGUUGGGUAACACUAACUGGAGGACCGAACCGACUAAUGUUGAAAAAUUAGCGGAUGACUUGUGGCUGGGGGUGAAAGGCCAAUCAAACCGGGAGAUAGCUGGUUCUCCCCGAAAGCUAUUUAGGUAGCGCCUCGUGAAUUCAUCUCCGGGGGUAGAGCACUGUUUCGGCAAGGGGGUCAUCCCGACUUACCAACCCGAUGCAAACUGCGAAUACCGGAGAAUGUUAUYACGGGAGACACACGGCGGGUGCUAACGUCCGUCGUGAAGAGGGAAACAACCCAGACCGCCAGCUAAGGUCCCAAAGUCAUGGUUAAGUGGGAAACGAUGUGGGAAGGCCCAGACAGCCAGGAUGUUGGCUUAGAAGCAGCCAUCAUUUAAAGAAAGCGUAAUAGCUCACUGGUCGAGUCGGCCUGCGCGGAAGAUGUAACGGGGCUAAACCAUGCACCGAAGCUGCGGCAGCGACACUAUGUGUUGUUGGGUAGGGGAGCGUUCUGUAAGCCUGUGAAGGUGURCUGUGAGGYAUGCUGGAGGUAUCAGAAGUGCGAAUGCUGACAUAAGUAACGAUAAAGCGGGUGAAAAGCCCGCUCGCCGGAAGACCAAGGGUUCCUGUCCAACGUUAAUCGGGGCAGGGUGAGUCGACCCCUAAGGCGAGGCCGAAAGGCGUAGUCGAUGGGAAACAGGUUAAUAUUCCUGUACUUGGUGUUACUGCGAAGGGGGGACGGAGAAGGCUAUGUUGGCCGGGCGACGGUUGUCCCGGUUUAAGCGUGUAGGCUGAUUUUCCAGGCAAAUCCGGAAAAUCAAGGCUGAGGCGUGAUGACGAGGCACUACGGUGCUGAAGCAACAAAUGCCCUGCUUCCAGGAAAAGCCUCUAAGCAUCAGGUAACAUCAAAUCGUACCCCAAACCGACACAGGUGGUCAGGUAGAGAAUACCAAGGCGCUUGAGAGAACUCGGGUGAAGGAACUAGGCAAAAUGGUGCCGUAACUUCGGGAGAAGGCACGCUGAUAUGUAGGUGAAGCGACUUGCUCGUGGAGCUGAAAUCAGUCGAAGAUACCAGCUGGCUGCAACUGUUUAUUAAAAACACAGCACUGUGCAAACACGAAAGUGGACGUAUACGGUGUGACGCCUGCCCGGUGCCGGAAGGUUAAUUGAUGGGGUUAGCGGUAACGCGAAGCUCUUGAUCGAAGCCCCGGUAAACGGCGGCCGUAACUAUAACGGUCCUAAGGUAGCGAAAUUCCUUGUCGGGUAAGUUCCGACCUGCACGAAUGGCGUAAUGAUGGCCAGGCUGUCUCCACCCGAGACUCAGUGAAAUUGAACUCGCUGUGAAGAUGCAGUGUACCCGCGGCAAGACGGAAAGACCCCGUGAACCUUUACUAUAGCUUGACACUGAACAUUGAGCCUUGAUGUGUAGGAUAGGUGGGAGGCUUUGAAGUGUGGACGCCAGUCUGCAUGGAGCCGACCUUGAAAUACCACCCUUUAAUGUUUGAUGUUCUAACGUUGGCCCSUKAUCSGGGUUGCGGACAGUGUCUGGUGGGUAGUUUGACUGGGGCGGUCUCCUCCUAAAGAGUAACGGAGGAGCACGAAGGUUGGCUAAUCCUGGUCGGACAUCAGGAGGUUAGUGCAAUGGCAUAAGCCAGCUUGACUGCGAGCGUGACGGCGCGAGCAGGUGCGAAAGCAGGUCAUAGUGAUCCGGUGGUUCUGAAUGGAAGGGCCAUCGCUCAACGGAUAAAAGGUACUCCGGGGAUAACAGGCUGAUACCGCCCAAGAGUUCAUAUCGACGGCGGUGUUUGGCACCUCGAUGUCGGCUCAUCACAUCCUGGGGCUGAAGUAGGUCCCAAGGGUAUGGCUGUUCGCCAUUUAAAGUGGUACGCGAGCUGGGUUUAGAACGUCGUGAGACAGUUCGGUCCCUAUCUGCCGUGGGCGCUGGAGAACUGAGGGGGGCUGCUCCUAGUACGAGAGGACCGGAGUGGACGCAUCACUGGUGUUCGGGUUGUCAUGCCAAUGGCACUGCCCGGUAGCUAAAUGCGGAAGAGAUAAGUGCUGAAAGCAUCUAAGCACGAAACUUGCCCCGAGAUGAGUUCUCCCUGACUCCUUGAGAGUCCUGAAGGAACGUUGAAGACGACGACGUUGAUAGGCCGGGUGUGUAAGCGCAGCGAUGCGUUGAGCUAACCGGUACUAAUGAACCGUGAGGCUUAACCUUACAACGCCGAAG
Molecule: ribosomal RNA, 2925 nt
Filed under: Escherichia coli
Lineage: Bacteria; Pseudomonadati; Pseudomonadota; Gammaproteobacteria; Enterobacterales; Enterobacteriaceae
Description: 23S ribosomal RNA
Rfam family: Bacterial large subunit ribosomal RNA
Source: RNAcentral